ACAUUUUUUUUCAGUAGUAGUUUAUUUUUUCAAUUACCUAUAAAGAUAGUUUUCAGUAUUCAUUUUUUGUAAAAUUUUGAGUUCUAAAUUUCUUUCUCCUUUCUUUACUUCCCUACCUCCAGCAAACAAUCUGAUAAAGGUUAUACAUAUAUAAUAUUUUAAAACAUUUUUCCAUAUUAGUCAUGUUGUGAAAGAAAAAUCAGAACAAAGGAAAAACCACAGAAAUAAAAAUCAAACCAACCCCCCCCCAAAAAAAAAGGUGAAAAUAGUAUGGUUUGGUCCACAUUCCUCCAUAAUUCUGUAUAUGGGUGGCAUUUUCCAUCCCAAGUCUAUUAGAAUUGUCUUGGAUCAUUGUAUUGCUGAAAAGGCCAAGUCUAAUAUAGUUAAUCAUCACAUAAUCUUGCUGUUACAGUGUACAAUGUUCUCUUGGUUCUACUCACCUCACUCAGCAUCAGUUCCUGUGAGUAUUUCCAGACUUUUCUGAAAUCAGCCUGCAUAUUUAGAAAUGACAUUUAAAAAAAAAUAAGAUGAUCAGAAAAAUGCAAAUUGAGACAAUUCUGAGGGUACCACUACUUACUUCGCAGAUUGGCUAAGAUGACAGGAAAAGAUAAUGACGAAUGUUGGAGGGUAUGUGGGAAAACUGGGACACUGAUACAUUGUUGGUGGAGUUGUGAAUUGAUCCAACCAUUCUGGAGAGCAAUUUGUAACUAUGCUCAAAGAGUUAUCAAAUUGUGCAUAGACCAAGCAGUAUUUCUACUGGGCUUAUAUCCCAAAGAGAUCAUAAAGGAGGGAAAGGGACAUGGCUCUUUUCAAUUACAAAGGGGUAAUUGAGGCCAGUUCCAAUGGUCUUGUGAUGAAGAGAACCAUCUGCAUCCAGAGAGAGAACUGAGGCAACUGAAUUGUGGAUCACAACAUAGCAUUUUUACUCUUUUUGUUGUUGUUAGCUUGCAUUUUGUUUUUUCUCUUUUUUCUUCCUUUUUAAUCUGAUUUUUCUUGUGCAGCAAGAUAAUUAUAUAAAUAUAUAUACAAAUAUUGGAUUUAACAUAUUUUUAACAUGUUCAACAUAUAUUGGAUUAUUUACUAUCUGGAGAGGGGAUGGGGGGAAGAGGGAGAAAUUAGGAUCACAAGGUUUUGCAAGGGUCCAUGUUGAAAAAUUAUCCAUGUAUAUGUUUUGAAAAUAAAAAGCUUUAAUUAAAAAAAAAAAAAAGAUUUUAAAAAAAGGUCCAUGCUGUAGGCAGCAUAGUUUUAAGGGUACUGUUCAUGAUUCUUCAAGAUGUCUGAAAUAGGAAAGGAUGCCAGAAAUUUAGGGGGAAAAUUGCAUAUGCUUUUAUUCCCCAAAAAGCAAUUGAAAAAUACCACUAACAGCUAAUCAAUAUGCCUAUUUUAUUAUCUCCACAAAAUCUUUUUGAGAAUAAUCAGUUUGAGAACUGAACAAUCAAAGGUCUCUGAUGAAAAUUUGAAAAAUAGAACAGGAAGGCUUUCAAAAUCAUAUUCUACAGACCACAUUUUUAUGGUAACACUGUUGACUGAAUGGUUCAGAAAAUAGAAGAUGCUAUUAUGCUUGUGUGGAUAAAUUGUCCAUGAUUUAAAAAAAAUAAAUUGAUUCAGUAGAGCAAAAUGUUCUCCAACCACACGUUUUCUACUCUUAUCCUAAAAUCUUCGAAUCCUUAGAAGUUUAAUAACAGAAAUAACUUUGACUCUAACAUUAUCAUCAUCAAGGAAUAAAAUAGGGCAAUUUAUGCUUACUAAAUUGGGGCAGCUAGGUGGCCUAGGGGAUAGAGCACUAGCCCUGAGGACCUAAGUUCAAAUAUGAUCUCAGAUAAUUAACACUUCCUGGCUGUGUGAUCCUGGGCAAGUCACUUAACCCCAAUUGCUUCAAGGGGAAUAUAUUGAUUAUUUUUGUGAUGGAGAAUGCCCAGCAUGAAUUUCAAAUAGAAAAAUAUGGGGAGUAUUUUGUUUCUGGGAAGCUUGGGAUCAUUCAAAGCAUUAUUCAAUUUACCAAAUGCAAUUAUAGGUAUAAUAUCUUAAUCAAAUAUUUUCAUUGUCUAUCCACUAUAUAUACAUGUUUUUGUAUGUAUAACUGUGUAAGUAUGUAUACAUAAUACACACAUACAAACAGAAAAAAAGUGCCUCUUUCUUGCAUAUAACUGUAUACAAACACAUACAAACACACACAUGCUAACACCAAUGGAACAGCUGUCCAAUCAUAUUCUGGAUAAUAGGCAGUUAUCAUGCAUUUUGUUUUUUCUUCUUCAACAGCCUAAUCUCUCAGGAGUGAUUUUGGGUUUCAUUUAAGAACAUUUAGAGAACUUCAUUAUCUAAUGGAAACCUUACCAUUUGGAUCCCAUAACAAUGACUCAUACUUUGGCCUGGCAAGAUAUUUCCGGAUCCUGACUCUGUUGUCCAACAUGUUAACUGAUGCUUCCAGGUUUGUGUCAUUUGCAGAUCUGUUAUGUAUGUCACUGCUACUUCCAUCUAAAUUAUUGAUAAAAAUGUUAAACAGCACAGGGUAAAUAGAAAUCACUGAACACUUGACUAGAUAGCUCCAUUUAAGUUGAUACUGACCCACUAAUCACUACUUUGUCUCAUUCAUAUAACUAGACUAUCAUCUAAUGCACCUCUCUCCAUCUUGUCUUGAAGAACAGUUGGAGAAAUUUUGCCCCAUACUUUGCUGAAACUUAGAUUAUUUUUUGCCUACAAGAUUUUCCUGAUCUACCAAACUAGAGAACCUCUCAAGAAAGAAAAUAAAGUUAGGCUGGCUUGCCCUCUUAUUGAUGAAGUUAUCUUAGCUCCUACUAAUUAUUGUUUCCCUUUCUAAAUUUCUAAAAGAAGAAUUAUAUGCUAAAAUUUCAUCAUGAAUUAAAGUCAUACUUCUCAGCUUUUAUAAAAUAUUUGUGCUUCUUCAGUCCUGAAGCAUUUCUAUGGUAUACAAGUUUUAAAUGAUCAUUGACAUUGGCUCAGCAAUUAGAUCCCCCAAUUCUUCUACUAGCACCCUAGUAUAUAGUUUACUUUGGCCUAGUGACUUGAAUUCAUUCUCUUAAAGUUUCUCAUUAAUGUUGGGUUUCAGCUCCUUGCUAACCCCCCUCUUUUUUUUUUAAUGUAGAGAAAGUAGAUGCAAAUUAACUGAGUAGUUAUACUUUCUCUCUGUCUUAUUAUUACCUCUUAUCAUUGUCCCAUCUACCCUGAAUGAUGAAUCCAUCCUUUGAGCUUCCUCUUGAACUCAUUAUAGCUUUGUCAUUCUUAGCAUUCGACUUCUGAGUUUUCUAUUUCUUGACAAUACUUAGAGGAUCAGGCUUCUUUUGUAUUCCUUUGUCAUUACCUGUCCUUGUCUUCCCAGCACUUAGCACAGUGCUUGGCUUAUAAUAAGGCACUUUUAGAAUGCUGGGUCACUGAAUUCUAUCUUCUGUGCAUGUCUUGAAAAUAACUGCAUUAUAACUCUAUAACUGAACAAAAACAUAAAUAAAUAUAAAAGGAGUAAAAUCUUAAAUAAAAUCCUUAAGCUUU
Antechinus flavipes (yellow-footed antechinus) is the source of this 3504-nucleotide long non-coding RNA. RefSeq lists it as uncharacterized. The record is from RefSeq and is a predicted model, not a curated record. The transcript has 2 exons. Lineage: Eukaryota; Metazoa; Chordata; Mammalia; Dasyuromorphia; Dasyuridae.